AGAAAAAUCAGCUGUCAGGCAAGGGCUGAAACACUGAAAAAAGAACAUACUGAAGUGAUGAGCUGAGAGAAAAUCCAUCAUUUUAGAUUCAGAAACUUACAUGUCACAUGCAGAACAGUGGUGGCAGCGGUCAGGUUUGAUUAGCUGGCAUCGAUCACAGUAUCUGAUGGCUCUUGAUGCUGUUGUCGUAUAGAUAGGCAAGUCUUUAGCAGCUCUUCUCAAAAUCUCCUGCUGGGACUCUGGUCUCUCUUCUUUUUCGUAUUGUUCUUUAUCAGCUUUUGACAAGCAGAACUCAUUGGAGGGGGAUGCAGGAGAUGUGAAAAUUGUCUUCCCAUAGGACCAUACAAACAUGACAAAUGACAGAUGGAAAAUCACAAGGUACACAACUUUUUCUGCAGUUGAAGAAAUAGUAAACACACACAGCUCCACCACGUAGGCGUAAUAAGACCAGGCCACGACCAGGGCGAUGAAGACCACGGGCACCCAGGCCAGCACCCUCUGGCAGCACUUGAGGACGUGGGACGGCGCCAUCUUCCCCCGGCGGCCGCCGCAGGAGGCAUCGGCGCCGGCGCUGCACGGGCGGCGGCUGCAGCAAUUGCCGCCGCUGCGGAGCCGGCCCCGGGCGGCGCGGGCAGGCCCUGGGCGGGCCGCAGUGGGCGGGAGAUGGGCGGCCCCGCGCCCGCCACCACCUCCUUCUUCUCCUCGUCCUCCUCCUCCUGCCUCUGGGUGGCGGAGCCCGUACAGCGCGGUUCGGUACGGCGUCCUGCCGGGUUCACGGGGCAGUCCCUGCGCGGCAGCCCCCGGCCGCUGUCACUGCACAGCGUGGGACAUCCCUCUGGCCGUCCGGGUCGGCUGGUCCUGUCCCCUCCCAGCUCCUGCGUACCGCCGCCUCUCCUGGCAGGGCACUUCGAGAAGCUGAACUCUGCGGAGCUCCGCUCUACAACAUCAACAUUGCUCUCCUCCUAAAUCCA
RNAcentral lists this long non-coding RNA (971 nucleotides) under Gallus gallus (chicken). The record is from RNAcentral. Lineage: Eukaryota; Metazoa; Chordata; Aves; Galliformes; Phasianidae.